CAUUCCAUUCGUUGCAUCCGUUCGAUUCCUACCUGCGUACAGUUGACCUUCCGGCGAGCCCCGAGACGUUUUCGCGUUUGUUCGUCACGGGGUACACGUUCACGAGAGCGUGCACGGUAUCCCGUGGAUCGGAGUCCGACAAUCACGAAGCCGAACGUACCGGCUCGCCAGGCUACAGUACUUACACGCGGUCCGCCGGCACACAUCGACACGGGGAGGCGUGCGUACAGCCGCCGACGCACGGACACAUGCACGCCGGCGGGCGUGCACACAGCCGCAGGCACGUAGACGGGCUCUACGUACACAAAGAGAGAACCGAGCCACGCAACAUGGCAACCGUGGCAGGACGUAGACGAUGGUUAUACGUAGAAGUUCCAGUGGCAGGGGGUCAGUGUAAAACGGCCUUCUGUCCGCAACGUGUCGAACGUCGUUCGGUAUAACCGUGCUGCUUUUGCGCCGGUGACACCUGGGGAUCCUGCGGAGACACGCAGCGCACCUGCACACGCGGACGAGAACGCCGAGCGAGGAGAGGAGGAUCGAUUCUACGGCGAGUUCUCUCGCGACCGGAGCCAUCGACGAUCAAUCGCCGGCGAGCCGCUGGAAAUCGACCCAAAGGCCGUCGUGUCCGUUAAUGGCCGCCAGGGUCAUCAGCUAGAGGCCGUUUAGCGAAGUUUCGAGCUGCCAGCGCGAUAACGCACAGCCCGUACCCGAUGAGUGUUAGAUCGGCGGCCGGCCACAUGGUGAAGCAGAGGAGGUUCAUCGGGAACACCAACAACAAGAUGAUCAACAUACGAGAAUAUUUAUAGACGGUUUUUAGGCGCGAACAGCACAAUAGGCCUGAACAGGAUCAAACAGUGAACUCGGUUUUAUCUGCAUGUCGGUGGACGACGGAGGCAGCAGCCAGUAUUGCUCACAGACGAACGAACGAUCGGCAAAGGGAAACGAUCGACGGUGUCCACGUUUCGUCGCCAGCCACUGAUCUCUCACGCCGACCGGAAGAAGUUCUCGACGAUCCUCGCGGAUAGAUCGGCGCGUCGCUACACGCGGCCGCCCGAUAUGCUCGGACUGCCACCUGGCUUCCUGUUUUACGUAACACGCCAGGGAUGCUUCAUUCUCGCGGACAGAUCCAAUAUAACGAGAGUUCUCACGACGACAGGGUUUAGACAGCCAUUAGCGGAAGUGUGUUGUUACGCCGGCAGGCGAGAAAGACAAGGCCGCCCCGCGCGGGAGAUAUGAAUUGCAACGGGCCGCGCAUCGGUUAAUCGGAAUCGGUGCACCGCGAUCGUUCGCGUAUCGGCCGUCAACGAGAGACCGUAUUCCGUUGAACAGGUUCUUUCUUUUCUAGGUUUUCAGCGUUCGCAGUAAUCGCGAAAGAGAUGUGGGAUAAGCCAAAGUAAACCAGUGAUAUUUUUUACACAGUAUUUUGCUUGAAUAAUCGAGGAGAUUAAACGAGAAGCGAGAUAGAGGGAAGCGAGUUUCGAUGAGUUGUAGUGAGAUCAGUUUAUAAAACGAGGAAAUAAACGGAU
Molecule: non-coding RNA, 1526 nt
Organism: Nomia melanderi (Alkali bee)
Lineage: Eukaryota; Metazoa; Arthropoda; Insecta; Hymenoptera; Halictidae
Source: RefSeq, a predicted model, not a curated record